This 253-nucleotide ribosomal RNA is filed under the name uncultured bacterium. RNAcentral's name for it is "partial 16S ribosomal RNA". It matches the Rfam family "Bacterial small subunit ribosomal RNA", at positions 524 to 776 of the family's 1533-position model. The record is from RNAcentral.
UACGGGGGGGGUAAGCGUUGUUCGGAAUCACUGGGCGUAAAGAGCUCGUAGGCGGCCACUCAAGUCGAAUGUGAAACCUCGAGGCUUAACCUCGAGCCUGCAUUCGAUACUGGGCGGCUAGAGUCUGGUAGGGGGAUCUGGAAUUCCUGGUGUAGCGGUGGAAUGCGCAGAUAUCAGGAGGAACACCGGUGGCGAAGGCGGGAUCCUGGGCCAGUACUGACGCUGAGGAGCGAAAGCGUGGGGAGCAAACAGG